RNAcentral lists this unclassified non-coding RNA (1501 nucleotides) under Daphnia magna. RNAcentral describes it as "popeye domain-containing protein 3, transcript variant X3". The record is from RNAcentral. Lineage: Eukaryota; Metazoa; Arthropoda; Branchiopoda; Diplostraca; Daphniidae.
UCGAAGGUGAAAGUUCUUUUGAUGCAAACCGAUACAAAUGAAAGUCCACAUUUAUGGAACGUAAUCGUAGGUUUGGGAAGGCCCUCUCUCCCUCCAGACAAAAUGUGCAAAAUCAUUCCAGUGCGAUUCCAUCAUUUUGGUAUCGCAAGUGAAUCACAGUCAAACUGGAGUAUUGAUGAUUCUAGCAAAAUCAAGCCGAUUAUGUUUGACGAAGACGAGAUUUACCCAGAAAUGUCAGACAUUGAUAGCCAGCGUAAUCGAUAUCAUUUUGUUGGAGAAGAGUGGCGUUUGAGUCAAAUUGAUGGCAAAUCAUUUUCGCUGGAUCUCCAGAUAAACGAGAGCAACAGCACGAGCAACGCAAGUUCAAUUGCAGCAAAAGGGGAUGCUGUUUGGCCUUGUUUUUAUACGGGCUGUUUGUGGCUGCCCAUCAAUCACAUUUCGUUCCAGUUUGCCCACGUUUUUCUCUGUCUGUCUUACUUGGCACCACCCGGACUUUAUGGACUCAUUUACCUACGUCUGGUGUUGGCCAUUGGGUCUGCGCUAUUGGCUGCUUGGGCUUGUUUCAUCAUAUGCGCAUUUGACACUUUCAUCUGGAACAGCCUCUUCCUCCUCGUCAAUGCUGUACAUGCUGUUGUACUGAUUAUCUCACUGCGAACAGUACAUUUUGGGCCACAAAUGGAACAGGUGUAUGGGGACAUCUUCCAGCCGCUGAAAGUGUCGAAGAGACAAUUUAAAGCCGUGGCCAAAUGCCUCACCUCCAUCCGGCUCAUGAAAAGAGGCGAAUGCUUUUCCGUUGAAAAGGAAACGAAAGUUGAAACACUUUCUCUUUUGCUGUCCGGCAGGAUGUUGGUUAGCCAAAAUGACAAAAUGCUUCACUUUAUUCACCCAAUGCAAUUCCUCGACUCCUCAGAUUGGUUUCAAGUUUCUUCUGACGACAUUUUUCAAGUGAGUAUCCGAGCUUGCGAAGAAUCACGGGUGUUGCUUUGGCAUCGUGAUAAGCUGAGAGUGAUCCUUCAAAAGGAUGCCUUCCUGCAAUCAGUUUUACAUGAAAUUCUGGGUCGCGACGUCGUUCGGAAACAUUGCCAGGUGAGAGAAAAAGUUGCCAGUUAUAAUGGAAGCCCACUAUUCAAAACGAACCUCAUGAAUAAUAUGUUGUUUGUUGAAAGCGAGAAACCGUUGAACCUUUUGUCAGCAUUUAAUCCGAAAAAUGCGAAUAAAGUCGACAAAAGUUUGGAAAAUGCUUAUAAACUUUUACAGAUAAAGCAAGAGCUCGCCGAUAGCCAACAGACAAUCAGCAAUCCGAUGAACACCCUCUAGUCAUUUGGUUCUGCUUUUGCAUGUGCGGGAAAUGCCGGAUAUUUUACCGUUCCAAAAUGAUUUAGAAGGAAAAAUUAUGAGAGUCCCUCGGGAAAUCCCUUUGCUAUUUUUCAAUUUUUUUGUAGUUUUUCCUAAAAACUCUAAAUAAUUAAAUAAACGUACGUACGUACGACUAUUCCUUAAA